RNAcentral lists this ribosomal RNA (301 nucleotides) under uncultured bacterium. RNAcentral's name for it is "partial 16S ribosomal RNA". It matches the Rfam family "Bacterial small subunit ribosomal RNA", at positions 509 to 808 of the family's 1533-position model. The record is from RNAcentral.
CAGUAGCCGCGGUAAUACGGAGGGCGCGAGCGCUACCCGGAUUUACUGGGCGUAAAGGGCGUGUAGGCGGCCUGGGUCGUCCAUGUGAAAGGCCACGGCUCAACCGUGGAGGAGCGUGGGAUACGCUCAGGCUAGAGGGUGGGAGAGGGUGGUGGAAUUCCCGGAGUAGCGGUGAAAUGCGCAGAUACCGGGAGGAACGCCGAUGGCGAAGGCAGCCACCUGGUCCACUUCUGACGCUGAGGCGCGAAAGCGUGGGGAGCAAACCGGAUUAGAUACCCCGGUAGUCCCUGUCUCUUAUACA